CCUACGGUGCGCAGCAGUCGAGAAUCAUUCACAAUGGGGGAAACCCUGAUGGUGCGACGCCGCGUGGGGGAAUGAAGGUCUUCGGAUUGUAAACCCCUGUCAUGUGGGAGCAAAUUAAAAAGAUAGUACCACAAGAGGAAGAGACGGCUAACUCUGUGCCAGCAGCCGCGGUAAUACAGAGGUCUCAAGCGUUGUUCGGAAUCACUGGGCGUAAAGCGUGCGUAGGCUGUUUCGUAAGUCGUGUGUGAAAGGCGCGGGCUCAACCCGCGGACGGCACAUGAUACUGCGAGACUAGAGUAAUGGAGGGGGAAUCGGAAUUCUCGGUGUAGCAGUGAAAUGCGUAGAUAUCGAGAGGAACACUCGUGGCGAAGGCGGGUUCCUGGACAUUAACUGACGCUGAGGCACGAAGGCCAGGGGAGCGAAAGGGAUUAGAUACCCCGGUAGUC
RNAcentral lists this ribosomal RNA (446 nucleotides) under uncultured bacterium. RNAcentral's name for it is "partial 16S ribosomal RNA". It matches the Rfam family "Bacterial small subunit ribosomal RNA", at positions 338 to 795 of the family's 1533-position model. The record is from RNAcentral.